CUGGUUACAACUUGUCCCCAAAAGAUAUCUGCCAUGAGCUUCUUGAGGACCAGGCUUAGGUGCAUCUUAUGGGCCGGUAUGUCUUAUAGGGCGAAAAAUACGGAACUCAAGCAAGCCUCCUCCUCCUUCUCACUGUCCUUGUUAUGCCAGGAUCCUUCCUGCUUUGCCCUGUCUGCAGUAGGAUAAAAAGAUCAUGAAGCCCCGAUCCUUUGUUAAGUCCGCCCCCUCAGUCGACCACCACCCGAAGAUGGAAGAGAUCAGCAGGAGAUUAACAUUUGUGUUCUCUUCAUGAUUUAAGACUGUUUUCUUUCAUCAGGAUCUUGCAAAAAAUUCUUCAGACAGUGGUUAGCACUGUUGCCUUGCAGCGCUGGGGUCCUGGGUUUGAAUCCACCCAAGGACAACAUCUGCAUGGAGUUUGUAUGGUCUGCCCAUGAUUGCGUGGGUUUCCUCCGGGUACUCAGGUUUCCUCCCUCACUCCAAAGAAAUACUAAUAGGGACCUUAGAUUGUGAGCCCUAAUGGGGAGA
Bufo gargarizans (Asiatic toad) is the source of this 525-nucleotide long non-coding RNA. RefSeq lists it as uncharacterized. The record is from RefSeq and is a predicted model, not a curated record. Lineage: Eukaryota; Metazoa; Chordata; Amphibia; Anura; Bufonidae. The transcript has 3 exons.